Molecule: ribosomal RNA, 406 nt
Filed under: uncultured bacterium
Lineage: Bacteria
Description: partial 16S ribosomal RNA
Rfam family: Bacterial small subunit ribosomal RNA
Source: RNAcentral
AUUGAACGCUGGCGGCAGGCCUAACACAUGCAAGUCGAACGAGUGGCGGACGGGUGAGUAAUGUCUGUGAAACGGCCUGCUGGAGGGGUAUAACUACUGGAAACGGUAGCUACUACCGCAUACCAUCAGAUGUGCCCAGAUGGGAUUAGCUUGUUGGUGGGGUAACGGCUCACCAGGGCUACGAUCCCUAGCUGGUCUGAGCGGGUGACCAGCCCGACUGGAACUGAUACCCGGUCCAGACUCCUACGGGAGGCAGCAGUGGGGAAUAUUGCACAAGGGGCGCAAGCCGGAUGCAGCCAUGCCGCGUGUAUGAGGAGGGCCUUCGGGUUGUAAAGUACUUUCAGCGGGGAGGCGUUACCCGCAGAAGAAGCACCGGCUAACUCCGUGCCAGCAGCCGCGGUAAUAC